GAUCCUGGUUCAGGAUAAACGCUGGCGGCGCACAUAAGACAUGCAAGUCGAACGGAAGUCGUUACGAAAUGGAAUGAAGAUUUAUCUGAUUGAAGUUUUGUAACAAUGGCUUUAGUGGCGGACUGGUGAGUAACACGUAAGCAAUCUACCUAUUAGAGGGGAAUAACAAUGAGAAAUCAUUGCUAAUACCGCAUAAGCUUGUAGUACCGCAUGGUACAGCAAGAAAAAGGAAGCAAUCCGCUAA
RNAcentral lists this ribosomal RNA (244 nucleotides) under uncultured bacterium. RNAcentral's name for it is "partial 16S ribosomal RNA". It matches the Rfam family "Bacterial small subunit ribosomal RNA", at positions 15 to 221 of the family's 1533-position model. The record is from RNAcentral.